AAAUGCGCGAAAGAUGGGGGAAAGGAAAAAAAAAAUAAAAAACACCAAACACGAUGCGACAACUCGAAGAAGCUGCACCACUUGAUUGACACUCCGACGUUUUUUUUUUUUUUUUUUUUU
RNAcentral lists this non-coding RNA (120 nucleotides) under Platyophrya macrostoma. Lineage: Eukaryota; Ciliophora; Colpodea; Cyrtolophosidida; Platyophryidae. The record is from RNAcentral.